Small nuclear RNA from Trichosurus vulpecula (common brushtail), 102 nucleotides. The record is from RefSeq and is a predicted model, not a curated record. NCBI's taxonomy places the organism in Eukaryota, Metazoa, Chordata, Mammalia, Diprotodontia, Phalangeridae.
GCCCUCUACUGCAGCACAUAUAAUAAAACAGAAAUGAUAUAGAAAUUAACAUGGCCCCAAUACAAGGAUGACAUACAUAUUUGUGAAGCAUUCCAUAUAUUU